AGAGUUUGAUCAUGGCUCAGAUUGAACGCUGGCGGCAGGCCUAACACAUGCAAGUCGAGCGGUAGCACAGAGAGCUUGCUCUCGGGUGACGAGCGGCGGACGGGUGAGUAAUGUCUGGGAAACUGCCUGAUGGAGGGGGAUAACUACUGGAAACGGUAGCUAAUACCGCAUAAUGUCGCAAGACCAAAGUGGGGGACCUUCGGGCCUCAUGCCAUCAGAUGUGCCCAGAUGGGAUUAGCUAGUAGGUGGGGUAACGGCUCACCUAGGCGACGAUCCCUAGCUGGUCUGAGAGGAUGACCAGCCACACUGGAACUGAGACACGGUCCAGACUCCUACGGGAGGCAGCAGUGGGGAAUAUUGCACAAUGGGCGCAAGCCUGAUGCAGCCAUGCCGCGUGUGUGAAGAAGGCCUUCGGGUUGUAAAGCACUUUCAGCGGGGAGGAAGGCGAUAAGGUUAAUAACCUUGUCGAUUGACGUUACCCGCAGAAGAAGCACCGGCUAACUCCGUGCCAGCAGCCGCGGUAAUACGGAGGGUGCAAGCGUUAAUCGGAAUUACUGGGCGUAAAGCGCACGCAGGCGGUCUGUCAAGUCGGAUGUGAAAUCCCCGGGCUCAACCUGGGAACUGCAUUCGAAACUGGCAGGCUAGAGUCUUGUAGAGGGGGGUAGAAUUCCAGGUGUAGCGGUGAAAUGCGUAGAGAUCUGGAGGAAUACCGGUGGCGAAGGCGGCCCCCUGGACAAAGACUGACGCUCAGGUGCGAAAGCGUGGGGAGCAAACAGGAUUAGAUACCCUGGUAGUCCACGCCGUAAACGAUGUCGAUUUGGAGGUUGUGCCCUUGAGGCGUGGCUUCCGGAGCUAACGCGUUAAAUCGACCGCCUGGGGAGUACGGCCGCAAGGUUAAAACUCAAAUGAAUUGACGGGGGCCCGCACAAGCGGUGGAGCAUGUGGUUUAAUUCGAUGCAACGCGAAGAACCUUACCUGGUCUUGACAUCCACAGAACUUAGCAGAGAUGCUUUGGUGCCUUCGGGAACUGUGAGACAGGUGCUGCAUGGCUGUCGUCAGCUCGUGUUGUGAAAUGUUGGGUUAAGUCCCGCAACGAGCGCAACCCUUAUCCUUUGUUGCCAGCGGUUCGGCCGGGAACUCAAAGGAGACUGCCAGUGAUAAACUGGAGGAAGGUGGGGAUGACGUCAAGUCAUCAUGGCCCUUACGACCAGGGCUACACACGUGCUACAAUGGCAUAUACAAAGAGAAGCGACCUCGCGAGAGCAAGCGGACCUCAUAAAGUAUGUCGUAGUCCGGAUUGGAGUCUGCAACUCGACUCCAUGAAGUCGGAAUCGCUAGUAAUCGUAGAUCAGAAUGCUACGGUGAAUACGUUCCCGGGCCUUGUACACACCGCCCGUCACACCAUGGGAGUGGGUUGCAAAAGAAGUAGGUAGCUUAACCUUCGGGAGGGCGCUUACCACUUUGUGAUUCAUGACUGGGGUGAAGUCGUAACAAGGUAACCGUAGGGGAACCUGCGGUUG
Molecule: ribosomal RNA, 1520 nt
Filed under: Klebsiella pneumoniae
Lineage: Bacteria; Pseudomonadati; Pseudomonadota; Gammaproteobacteria; Enterobacterales; Enterobacteriaceae
Also listed under: 2 other names
Description: bacterial SSU rRNA
Rfam family: Bacterial small subunit ribosomal RNA
Source: RNAcentral